UACGGAAGGCAGCAGUGGGGAAUAUUGCACAAUGGGCGCAAGCCUGAUGCAGCCAUGCCGCGUGUAUGAAGAAGGCCUUCGGGUUGUAAAGUACUUUUCAGUCGUGAGGAAGGUGUUAAGGUUAAUAACCUUAGCAAUUGACGUUAGCGACAGAAGAAGCACCGGCUAACUCCGUGCCAGCAGCCGCGGUAAUACGGAGGGUGCGAGCGUUAAUCGGAAUUACUGGGCGUAAAGGGCACGCAGGCGGUUAAUUAAGUUGGAUGUGAAUCCCCGGGCUUAACCUGGGAAUGGCAUUCAAGACUGGUUAGCUAGAGUCUUGUAGAGGGGGUAGAAUUCCAUGUGUAGCGGUGAAAUGCGUAGAGAUGUGGAGGAAUACCGGUGGCGAAGGCGGCCCCUGGACAAAGACUGACGCUCAUGUGCGAAAGCGUGGGGAGCAAACAGGGAUUAGAUACC
Molecule: ribosomal RNA, 453 nt
Filed under: uncultured bacterium
Lineage: Bacteria
Description: bacterial SSU rRNA
Rfam family: Bacterial small subunit ribosomal RNA
Source: RNAcentral